UGCGAAGCGAAGCAGCGAUGUGAAGCAAAUCGCACCAAAGCCGGUCCCAGUUCGGAUAAGAGGCUGAAACUCGCCUCUUUGAAGUCGGAAUCACUAGUAAUCGCAGAUCAGCAUGUUGCGGUGAAUACGUUUCCUGGUCUUGUACACACCGCCCGUCAAACCAUGAGAGUCGCCAACACCCGAAGUCCGCUUUGCGGCCUAAGGUGGGGGAGAUGAUUGGGGUUAAGUCGUAACAAGGUAUC
This 242-nucleotide ribosomal RNA is filed under the name uncultured bacterium. RNAcentral describes it as "partial 16S ribosomal RNA". It matches the Rfam family "Bacterial small subunit ribosomal RNA", at positions 1243 to 1500 of the family's 1533-position model. The record is from RNAcentral.